ACGCGGCGAGACGCGAAUGCAUGCUUUUAAUUGGCCAAGUACACACAAGUCGCCAUUUACGACAGUCGUAUGUAACGUACCAUAGACAGUGGCUUGUAUAUUAUUCAUCCCGAGAGCGGUCCAGCGUGCAUUUCAGUUUGCUCUAAUUGGAGAGAGCGUAUCGUCAAGGCAAAGUGCAUUAACAGGGAAGAUAAAGUGAGCCAAGUUCCAUUGGCAAAAUUGAGAAUGCAAAAUUUUUAUCCGUACUGUAUAUGUAUAAGCGCAUCUCGAAGUUGUAGAAACGAACGAAGAAAGGGGAUCCAGUGCACAUCACAUUGUCGGCAUCCUCUAAUUGGAGAGAGCGUAGCGAGAAGCAAAGUGCAUAACGAGCGAACAGCGGGUAGGAGGAACGUGGAAUGCUGGUGCAAUUGCCUAGCAGCAGCAGAUGCAGCGGGUCUUAUCUCAUGUGGGAAAACGUGGGCGACGAAAAGGCGCGUUUAUCUUAAAUGUUUAAAUUGUGUUGACGUCAGCACGAAAUCCCGUCGAGCGAACGCAAGAAGGCGUAAAUUUGUUAGGGAUCUUUUUAGUGGACAAAAAAAUAAAGUAUACAUAUAUAUAAAUAAGGACGGAGAAACAGCUAUGAAAUUUGUGGUCUUAAAGGAAAAAAAAUUGUUAUAAAAAUUAAUUAUCUACAGAAAUAAUGCACGUUGGUAGGUGAUAUUAUGAUCUUGGAAUUUUAAGUGAAAAAUAGUUACGGAAACAUUUGAUAGUCUUUAAGGACGAUUUACAAGUUAAAUUUGACGUAGUCGCUCCGUGCUGUUCAACCAAGUCCACACCCUUAUGUCGCAAACGGGUAUUAGAAAUGCUGCGGGUGUGCCAUGGAACACCAGUCACGUUUCUCAACAGAGACGCAUCCUCGUUUCCAGACUAGAUGGCGACAGAGUUUCCCUGUAAUCCUUGACGACUUACGCUAAGAAUUCCUAGCGAUUUUUCAAUGAUCGUACAGAAAUAAUACAAAGUUUAAUGACACGAUCGAAUCAUGUAAAUUUUUCAUUUACAGAACAACCAAAAUACUCGCGUUUCCUGCUGACCAUUCAUAAGCAUAUAGAAAUAUUAGAAAGUGAUGGAAAAUUCUAAAGUUCUUGCACGACGUAACAAGACUUUUCCUUGUUCAGAAAAAAAAAAAAAAAAAUUGCAUAAAACAGUUCGCGAGAUAAUCGUUACACUCGAUAAAUCUUCGAGCAAUUCAGAAAGCCGGAAACCCAAGAAAAUUCUAAUCCAAUGAAUCACAUGGAAUUUCAACGUUUCCGGGUAGUCGCAUUAGUAAAAAUGUUUUUCAUUCAACGACAAUGGUGUAAAGUGGGUUAGCGAUGAAUGUCAACAACGUUGAAUCGAAAGGUACCCGGUGGUAACGUCUAAUUAGGAAUAUUCUUAAUGGUCCUUAAUGAGUUUCUUAUCAGUUAUCACUGUAACUUAAAACACACCGAUCGUAAUUUGUCACAAGUAUAAAUUGUCCUGGGUCCUACGUAAAUACCUAAAGUAUAUAAUAGCUGGUAUGAAAUUUGGUCUAUCGUUGUUCGUAAUGUCAAUGCUACGGACUGAUCUAUUAAUAGGUUCCAUUAACCUGUACCAGUGAGAAGAUAUCUCAGUACACGAAAGGUAUUAAGUGAACACACAAUAAAUAAUGUAACCGUCUCCCAGCCCGCAUCCGCUCCACAUAGUCGUUACAAUAUCUAUAGCGUCCCACUAGAGCGCGUUCAUGCGUCCAGCCUUACGAGCAUGGCCGGACAGUUAAGCCUGACUUUCUUGGGUGCGAAGGGAAGAACCAACGGAGAUGAAAUAUAAGAAAAUGAUUGAAAGUGAGAAUUAAAAAAAAAAAA
Long non-coding RNA from Cephus cinctus (wheat stem sawfly), 1859 nucleotides. RefSeq lists it as uncharacterized. The record is from RefSeq and is a predicted model, not a curated record. The transcript is spliced from 2 exons. NCBI's taxonomy places the organism in Eukaryota, Metazoa, Arthropoda, Insecta, Hymenoptera, Cephidae.